UAACGACUCUCGGCAACGGAUAUCUUGGCUCUCGCAUCGAUGAAGAACGCAGCAAAAUGCGAUACUUGGUGUGAAUUGCAGAAUCCCGUGAAUCAUCGAGUUUUUGAACGCAAGUUGCGCCCGAAGCCUUUYGGCCGAGGGCACGUCUGCCUGGGUGUCACGC
Molecule: ribosomal RNA, 163 nt
Filed under: Dalechampia parvifolia
Lineage: Eukaryota; Viridiplantae; Streptophyta; Magnoliopsida; Malpighiales; Euphorbiaceae
Description: 5.8S ribosomal RNA
Rfam family: 5.8S ribosomal RNA
About the family: 5.8S ribosomal RNA (5.8S rRNA) is a component of the large subunit of the eukaryotic ribosome. It is transcribed by RNA polymerase I as part of the 45S precursor that also contains 18S and 28S rRNA.
Source: RNAcentral